Long non-coding RNA from Mus musculus (house mouse), 446 nucleotides. RefSeq annotates it as RIKEN cDNA 1700025K04 gene. Lineage: Eukaryota; Metazoa; Chordata; Mammalia; Rodentia; Muridae. The record is from RefSeq and is marked validated. The transcript has 2 exons.
AAGCAUGAUGGGAGAAACAGCACUCUGGGGUUCAGCGCUUCCGUAUGUUCCUAAGCUCACUGAUUCAGGUCCAUUAAGUGCUCACAGAGAAAUAAGCUACUAGACCCUGAGAAUACACAAACAGCUCUACAGAGCUGGCCCACAGUGAAGAGCAUCCUACAUCCAGCAAGUGCUGAGGCCUCUUUCCAGCACCGGUGUGAAGAUGAACCACGAUGGAGGCGGGUCUCCGGCCCUCAGCCAGGAUCUCAAACAACUACAGCUCCGGCUGAGGAUGCUCAGAACUGGGGGUGUCCUGAAAGCCCAGAGUCAGAAUCCUCCUGCCAAGCCCCUCCCACAUUCCCAACUCAGAGAAGCCCUCACAUUAUAAAUGGCUGUCGAUUUCUCCUGCUGAGAUUGGAGAUAAUUUUACUCAGACAGAUAAAAUCCACAUUGCCAUCAUCAUAAAA